This 68-nucleotide transfer RNA is filed under the name Dosinia japonica. RNAcentral's name for it is "tRNA-Met". Lineage: Eukaryota; Metazoa; Mollusca; Bivalvia; Venerida; Veneridae. The record is from RNAcentral.
UUUGAAAAUAAACUAAUUAAGUUGUCUGAUUCAUGCUCAGAAUAUAGAAUUAAUUUUCUUUUUCAUAU